CCUACGGGGGGCAGCAGUAGGGAAUUUUCGUCAAUGGGCGCAAGCCUGAACGAGCAAUGCCGCGUGAACGAGGAAGGUCUUCGGAUCGUAAAGUUCUGUUGAAUGGGAACCCGAGCGGAGAGAGGAAAUGAACUCCGAUUGAUAUUACCCUUCGAGGAAGUCACGGCUAACUACGUGCCAGCAGCCUCGGUAAUACGUCGGUGUCGAGCGUUAUCCGGAAUGAUUGGGCGUAAAGGGUGCGUAGGCGGCCUGCUAAGUCUGGAGUGAAAGGUACCGGCUCAACCGGUAUAGGCUCUGGAAACUGGCGGGCUAGAGAGCAGGAGAGGGCGGUGGAACUCCAUGUGUAGCGGUAAAAUGCGUAGAUAUAUGGAAGAACACCAGUGGCGAAGGCGGCCGCCUGGCCUGUUACUGACGCUGAGGCACGAAAGCGUGGGGAGCAAAUAGGAUUAGAUACCCUUGUAGUC
This 464-nucleotide ribosomal RNA is filed under the name uncultured bacterium. Its description in RNAcentral is "partial 16S ribosomal RNA". It matches the Rfam family "Bacterial small subunit ribosomal RNA", at positions 338 to 795 of the family's 1533-position model. The record is from RNAcentral.